This 272-nucleotide ribosomal RNA is filed under the name uncultured prokaryote. RNAcentral's name for it is "partial 16S ribosomal RNA". It matches the Rfam family "Bacterial small subunit ribosomal RNA", at positions 524 to 794 of the family's 1533-position model. The record is from RNAcentral.
UACGGAGGAUCCGAGCGUUAUCCGGAUUUAUUGGGUUUAAAGGGUGCGCAGGCGGGAGAUUAAGUCGGCGGUGAAAUUUUGCGGCUCAACCGUAAAAGUGCCUUCGAUACUGGUGGUCUUGAGUGUGGAUGAGGUAGGCGGAAUUUGUGGUGUAGCGGUGAAAUGCAUAGAUAUCACGAGGAACUCCGAUUGCGCAGGCAGCUUACUAAACUACUACUGACGCUCAGGCACGAAGGCGUGGGGAGUCAAACAGGAUUAGAUACCUCCGUAGU